This 329-nucleotide unclassified non-coding RNA is filed under the name soil metagenome. Its description in RNAcentral is "partial contains 5.8S ribosomal RNA, internal transcribed spacer 2, and large subunit ribosomal RNA". The stretch from base 1 to 120 matches the Rfam family "5.8S ribosomal RNA", at positions 35 to 154 of the family's 154-position model. The record is from RNAcentral.
GAUGAAGAACGCAGCGAAAUGCGAUAAGUAAUGUGAAUUGCAGAAUUCAGUGAAUCAUCGAAUCUUUGAACGCACAUUGCGCCCCCUGGUAUUCCGGGGGGCAUGCCUGUCCGAGCGUCAUUACAACCCUCAAGCUCAGCUUGGUGUUGGGCCCCGCCGCCCCGGCGGGCCCUAAAGUCAGUGGCGGUGCCGUCCGGCUCCGAGCGUAGUAAUUCUUCUCGCUCUGGAGGUCCGGUCGUGUGCUCGCCAGCAACCCCCAAUUUUUUUCAGGUUGACCUCGGAACAGGUAGGGAUACCCGCUGAACUUAAGCAUAUCAAUAAGCGGAGGA